This is a long non-coding RNA of Lolium perenne, 832 nucleotides long. RefSeq lists it as uncharacterized. Lineage: Eukaryota; Viridiplantae; Streptophyta; Magnoliopsida; Poales; Poaceae. The record is from RefSeq and is a predicted model, not a curated record.
CUUGCGUCUCACCACUAUUAGACGCCUCCCAGCAGUCCGUCACGGCGACGUCCAAGCCGCACGACGCCGCCCAGCAGUCCGUCGCCUCCUGCGUGGCAACGUCCAAGCCACACCGUCAGACGACGCCCAAGAGCCCGUCGCCUCCAGCACGGUGACGUCCAAGCCGCACCGUCGCCUCGCUGCACAGCGACCUCGCCGCCCUUACAUCGCACUUGACUCUCCUCCUUCACCCAUCGCUGCGGACUAAAAUUGACAUCCCUGCAACUUCUUCUCAAUAAAUAUUCAAUUUUAUCCCUUCUUGGAGUUUUGAUUUUUUUCUUAUAUUUUUCUUCUGUACAUCGAUUCUAAUCUAUCGCGGUGUUGGGCGGCGAUGGCUGGUUGAUGAUUAUCGUGUGGUUUUCUCGGUGUGUGCAGCAGAAUGGAGUACGAACGCAGGGUGAAUACUUCUCCCGGAGGGGCAGUUCCAGGCCAAGUACGCCAUUGAGGCAUCAAGGCUAAGUUACAAAAUAACGGUGGAAAUUGCUUACUCCUGAAACCAAAGAUGGUGGUGGUGGUUUUGCUGGCGAGGGAUUCAAGUUGAAAAAUAGUGGAGAUGCACGUGUUGUUUAUGGUGUUUCCAUCGUCGGGAAAUCAAAAUUGUUGAAGAUAUGAUGUGCUUGUGAGACCAUAAAAGGUGUGAUAACUGGUAAGGAGCAGUGGGGUGAGCUUAAGGAGUAAAUAGAUGUAAUACAACAGCUACGACCAUGUUUUAUGUAACCUACAUUCUAUCCUUAUCCAUUGGAUUUGGUUAUUAUGGAUGGACAAGAUUGAUUGUGUUAAUCAGGGUGGUGCU